AAACAUUUGAAAGGAGGUGAUCCAGUGCAUCAUGAGGUAUUGGAGAAGUGUGUCGGGACAACUUGGGAGGAGCGCAGCUAGGGCAGCCCUUGGCUGACGUGAACCCAAGGUGGAGUUCCUAACCGACCCACCUCCGAAAUUCAGGAAAGGGCCAUCCCGUCGCCGGGGUGGCCCU
Molecule: small RNA, 175 nt
Filed under: Loktanella sp. PT4BL
Lineage: Bacteria; Pseudomonadati; Pseudomonadota; Alphaproteobacteria; Rhodobacterales; Roseobacteraceae
Description: caulobacter sRNA CC2171
Source: RNAcentral